This 468-nucleotide ribosomal RNA is filed under the name uncultured bacterium. RNAcentral describes it as "partial 16S ribosomal RNA". It matches the Rfam family "Bacterial small subunit ribosomal RNA", at positions 28 to 507 of the family's 1533-position model. The record is from RNAcentral.
GACGAACGCUGGCGGCGUGCUUAACACAUGCAAGUCGAACGGAAAGGCCCUGCUUUUGUGGGGUGCUCGAGUGGCGAACGGGUGAGUAACACGUGAGUAACCUGCCCUUGACUUUGGGAUAACUUCAGGAAACUGGGGCUAAUACCGGAUAGGAGCUCCUGCUGCAUGGUGGGGGUUGGAAAGUUUCGGCGGUUGGGGAUGGACUCGCGGCUUAUCCGCUUGUUGGUGGGGUAGUGGCUUACCAAGGCUUUGACGGGUAGCCGGCCUGAGAGGGUGACCGGCCACAUUGGGACUGAGAGACGGCCCAGAAUCCUACGGGAGGCAGCAGUGGGGAAUAUUGCACAAUGGGCGGAAGCCUGAUGCAGCAACGCCGCGUGCGGGAUGACGGCCUUCGGGUUGUAAACCGCUUUCGCCUGUGACGAAGCGUGAGUGACGGUAAUGGGUAAAGAAGCACCGGCUAACUACGUG